AUGACUCAUCUAGGGCAUUUCAGCCGUCAAAAGACUUCCGACUCAUGGUAAGGUAACUGCAUCUGGUCGGACAUGACUCAUCUAGGGCAUUUCAGCCGUCAAAAGACCUCCGACUCAUGGCAAGGUAACUACAUCAAAUCAGAUAUGAUUCAUCUGGGGCAUUUCAGCCGUCAAAAGACCUUCGACUCAUGGCAAGGUAAUUGCAUCAAAUCAGAUAUCAUUCAUCUGGGGCAUCUUAGCUGUUAAAGGGUUUCCGAUCUGAAGCGUCUGCAAAUCAAAGACUCAGAACAGUGAAAUUCAAAGUUGGUAGAGGAAACAGUGGUUAUUGUGUUCAAUGUACCCUUUCCAUUUAAUUACCAUUUUCCAAACUUUUAAAAUCCGUGGAACCACGCCUUUGGCAGGCCACCACUCCAUUUACAUUAACUUGAGCUUGUGCCCAUUUAUUUGAAAUUCUCAUUUAUUCUGUUUGCAAACUUUUCUUCUAUUUUUGAUGUUAAUACCUAAAGCAAAAAAAAA
Molecule: long non-coding RNA, 516 nt
Filed under: Medicago truncatula (barrel medic)
Lineage: Eukaryota; Viridiplantae; Streptophyta; Magnoliopsida; Fabales; Fabaceae
Description: long non-coding RNA (MTRU_LNC005281)
Source: RNAcentral